RNAcentral lists this ribosomal RNA (1496 nucleotides) under Salmonella enterica subsp. enterica serovar Nchanga. Its description in RNAcentral is "partial 23S ribosomal RNA". It matches the Rfam family "Bacterial large subunit ribosomal RNA", at positions 200 to 1735 of the family's 2925-position model. The record is from RNAcentral. Lineage: Bacteria; Pseudomonadati; Pseudomonadota; Gammaproteobacteria; Enterobacterales; Enterobacteriaceae.
AUCUAAGUACCCCGAGGAAAAGAAAUCAACCGAGAUUCCCCCAGUAGCGGCGAGCGAACGGGGAGGAGCCCAGAGCCUGAAUCAGCAUGUGUGUUAGUGGAAGCGUCUGGAAAGGCGCGCGAUACAGGGUGACAGCCCCGUACACAAAAGCGCAUGUGCUGUGAGCUCGAUGAGUAGGGCGGGACACGUGGUAUCCUGUCUGAAUAUGGGGGGACCAUCCUCCAAGGCUAAAUACUCCUGACUGACCGAUAGUGAACCAGUACCGUGAGGGAAAGGCGAAAAGAACCCCGGCGAGGGGAGUGAAAAAGAACCUGAAACCGUGUACGUACAAGCAGUGGGAGCACCCUUUGGGGUGUGACUGCGUACCUUUUGUAUAAUGGGUCAGCGACUUAUAUUCUGUAGCAAGGUUAACCGAAUAGGGGAGCCGGAGGGAAACCGAGUCUUAAUUGGGCGUUAAGUUGCAGGGUAUAGACCCGAAACCCGGUGAUCUAGCCAUGGGCAGGUUGAAGGUUGGGUAACACUAACUGGAGGACCGAACCGACUAAUGUUGAAAAAUUAGCGGAUGACCUGUGGCUGGGGGUGAAAGGCCAAUCAAACCGGGAGAUAGCUGGUUCUCCCCGAAAGCUAUUUAGGUAGCGCCUCGUGAAUUCAUCUCCGGGGGUAGAGCACUGUUUCGGCUAGGGGGCCAUCCCGGCUUACCAACCCGAUGCAAACUGCGAAUACCGGAGAAUGUUAUCACGGGAGACACACGGCGGGUGCUAACGUCCGUCGUGAAGAGGGAAACAACCCAGACCGCCAGCUAAGGUCCCAAAGUCAUGGUUAAGUGGGAAACGAUGUGGGAAGGCCCAGACAGCCAGGAUGUUGGCUUAGAAGCAGCCAUCAUUUAAAGAAAGCGUAAUAGCUCACUGGUCGAGUCGGCCUGCGCGGAAGAUGUAACGGGGCUAAACCAUGCACCGAAGCUGCGGCAGCGACACUCAGGUGUUGUUGGGUAGGGGAGCGUUCUGUAAGCCUGUGAAGGUGGCCUGUGAGGGUUGCUGGAGGUAUCAGAAGUGCGAAUGCUGACAUAAGUAACGAUAAAGCGGGUGAAAAGCCCGCUCGCCGGAAGACCAAGGGUUCCUGUCCAACGUUAAUCGGGGCAGGGUGAGUCGACCCCUAAGGCGAGGCCGAAAGGCGUAGUCGAUGGGAAACGGGUUAAUAUUCCCGUACUUGGUGUUACUGCGAAGGGGGGACGGAGAAGGCUAUGUUGGCCGGGCGACGGUUGUCCCGGUUUAAGCGUGUAGGUGUGUGUUCCAGGUAAAUCCGGUUCACUUUAACACUGAGGCGUGACGACGAGGCACUACGGUGCUGAAGCAACAAAUGCCCUGCUUCCAGGAAAAGCCUCUAAGCAUCAGGUAACAUCAAAUCGUACCCCAAACCGACACAGGUGGUCAGGUAGAGAAUACCAAGGCGCUUGAGAGAACUCGGGUGAAGGAACUAGGCAAAAUGGUGCCGUAACU